ACCUUGGUGACCACUUUACCACAAUGAAUGAACUUCAUGAGGCUUUAAGGGAUUUAUGCUUGCUGGUUAAUAACAUAAUUAACCCUCCUGUGUGCAACCCAGUUUCUCUGUCUUUGGUACAAACAAGGGGACGGCCAAGGUAUCAUAUAACUGUUGGACAGCAUUCCCAGUUGAGGGAAACUGGGAUGUUGUGGAUUUCCAUCGCAGACAUUCUUGGUAUCAGUUUGUCAACUCUUUCUCGGAGAAGAGAUAUGUUUGGAUUAGUUGAAAAUUAUGAUGCCAUCCCAAACAGUCAGCUGGAUGAAAUAAUCAGAGAUAUCACUGCACACACUGCAAAUGCUGGUGAGAGACUGGUUCAAGGUAGUAUUCGAGGAAGGGGAUACAGAGUUCAAAGACAUAGGGUCAGAGAGAGGAUGCGUAUUAUUGAUCCAGCAGGAACUCUGAUUCGACGAAGACGUGUCAUCAGAAGAAGAGUGUACAGUGUCAGAGGAUCAAACCACUUAUGACAUAUAGACUCUAACCAUAAACUGAUUGCAUGGAGAUUUGUUCUUCAUGGCUGCAUCGAUGGAUUCAGCAGAACAGUUAUUUAUUUGAGUUGUGCCUCAAACAAUCGUGCUGCAACAGUACUGUCUUUUUUUCAGAUUGGAGUCUCCCAAUUUGGUUUGCCAUUAAGAGUAAGGGGAGACAGGGGCCGUGAAAAUGCACGUGUUGCACAGUACAUGAUUGAAAGAAGAGGAACAGACCGGGGAAGCUUUAUUGUGGGAAGGAGUGUGCAUAACUAAAGGAUUGAACGUCUCUGGGGACAUGUGAACAGGGUUGUGUCAGACUUUUAUAGGCAGCUUUUUCAGUACAUGGAAUAUGUGGACAUUCUACACCCAGAUAAUGAGAUGCAUUUAUGGUCCCUCAACUACAUCUUCCUUAGGAGAAUUCAACGGUCAUGUGAUGAAUUUAUCAGACAAUGGAAUUAUCACAGUAUGAGAACAGAGGGUGGCAUGAGUCCACUAGCAUUGUGGAAUUCUGGUAUGGUAAUUGAGCCAAAUAUUGUCCUUAAUGUCUCUGACAUAGAUGACUAUAGUAUUAACUUUAAUAAUGUUAAUGAGAAUAUGACACAGAUCAACACUGUACCAGAAAACACUUUCAGUGUAAGCACUGCAGAUACUGAUUACCUUCAAACAUUAUUGAAUCCCUUAUCAGAUGAUGGGAAUAAUGGGAUACAACACUACUUGACUGUUUUGGACUAUUUGUCAUCACAAUACACAUAGCAAGAAUCCAGACACAUGCUUGUUAUUUUCAAGAUUAUCUUUAUCUACAAACUAACUUUGAAAAACAGAACUGUUUUUAAUAAAUCUGUUUAUACAGUGCAUCUUUCAAGUUUCAAAUGUUUUAAUCCACAAUGAAUAAUUAUUGAAAAAACUACACUUUGAAUACACGUUGUACUUUAAGCCAAAAGUAGCUUUUUAAAACAUGCAUUUUUUGCUUUCCAUAACAAUAAUUGUCAUUUAAACAUUAUUAAACAUAAUAUAAUAUAA
Molecule: long non-coding RNA, 1529 nt
Organism: Hemibagrus wyckioides
Lineage: Eukaryota; Metazoa; Chordata; Actinopteri; Siluriformes; Bagridae
Exons: 4
Source: RefSeq, a predicted model, not a curated record